CCUCCCCGACUCCUCUCUCUCACCCGACCCUGACUCUCCCUCACCCGACCCGACUCCUCCCGAACAGGAACGAAGACCAGGCAGCGGCCCGACCUAGAUCUCGCGCCGCCCGGGCGCGCCGCCGGCCCGCCCCCGCCGGAUCCGCCUUGUCCUCGACCGGAUCCGCCUCUUCCACCGGUUCCGCCCCCCGUUCCCAUCGUGGUCUGGCCCUGCUCCGCCGCCCGUCCCUCGACUCCCCGCCGGCUCCUGCUCCUUCCCGGCCGGCUCUCCCCCCACCGGCCACUGCUCCUUCCCCGCUGGCUCUCCCUCCUCCGACUAGCAUCUCCUCCGCCGACGCCCCUGCUUCUCCAACCAGCAACAAACCUGCAAGUGAAAUAAUGGAUGAUAAGCAAGUCCAAAAGGCUGUGUGGGAUACCGAUGCGGCAAGGAUUUUUUGUGAGAUUGCUUGCAAAGAGGCCAACGAGGGCAAUAGGCCUACCAAGACUUUGGUUAUAAAAAUUUAAGUGAGGAGUUCCAUAAGCAAACUGGAAGGCUAUAUACACGUAAGCAAUUCAAAAACCGUUGGGACGAAUUCAAAUGCAUCUGGACAUCAUGGGUGUAUUACAUGACAAAGGCUACUGGACUUGGAUAGGAUCCUGUUAAGAAGACUAUAACAGCUAGUGAAGAACAGUGGGCUGACCUGAUCAAGGUCCAUAAGGAUAUUAGACGUUUUCGAAAAAGGCCCCCGGACAACUUGGAAUGGCUAGAGAAAAUGUUCCAAAAAGCUAGUGUGACCGGCAAUUCUUCGGUGAUGCCCGAAGCUGAAGAAGAUGACAUUGCAGAAUGCCAAGACGUCGUUGUAUUGUUGAUUUGGAGGCUGAUGAUGAAGGAACCCCUCAACCUAGAAGCGUGGGGGGGGGGGGGGGGGCAAGUGCCAUACCUUGCAGUCCAAAGAGACCCAAGAAAGAUCCUUAUGGAAAGGAUUUCAAAAGAUUUGUUGAUCAUGUCAUUAGUGAGAAAAAAUCAGAGGCAUCUAGCAAUGUGUCAGUUGCAAAUGAUAUUGAUGCCAUCAUGGAGGAAGUUGUCAAGUGUGAGGCACCUGAAACAAGUGAUGAGUACUAUAUUGCAACAAAGUUGUUUGGUAAACUUGAAAAUAAGUGUUUCUUCUAUGCUAUGAAGACUAGUGAGGGGAGACUCCAGUGGUUGAAGAGGCAGUACGCGGACAGGAAGAGGCAUUAGAAAUUCAUUCACUUGUGUGUUGUAUCCUUCAAUUUAUUUCAGACUUGUGUGUGCUGCUACUGUUUCGUAAUAUUGUGUGUGACCUGAACAAUGUAUUUGUAUUCUUCAAUUUAUUUCAGAUUUGUUGUUGCUGCUGUAUUGUUGUUGUUGUUGUCAAAUAAAUAUGGUAGAUGUUGCUGUAUUGUUGCUGCUGUUGUAUUCUUGCUGCUGCUGCUGUCAAAUAAAUAUUGUUGUUGUUACUGUAUUGCUACUGUCAAAUAAAUAUUGUUGUUGUUGCUGUAUUGUUGCUGUCAAAUAAAUAUUGUUUCUGCUGCUGUUUUGUUGCUACUGCUCACAUAUUUUACUUGCUGCUGUUUUUGGAUGAGUUCAUCAACAGAGGCUGAGAGUGCCUCAAGUGACUCAAGUGAUGGAGACAUUAAUAUUGCUGCCGAGAAGAGGAAGUUAAGGAAAAAGAGACGCAAUCGAAAUGUGGCUGUUCUUUUUGGUUCUACCUGCAUGCUAGAAAAUAUUUUAACAAAAGGAAGAGGAGGGAGUAUAGGUGCACCGGUCAGCAGUGGACCUAUGACUACAGAAGAUUGUUAUGAAAUGUAUAGGAUGACCAGGCCUUGUUUUGAUGCUUUGCAUGACAGGCUGGUAGAACAUUAUGGUUUGAAAGGGACAAAGUUUAUGUGUUUUGAAGAGGCUCUUGCAAUGUUUCUAUGGACUGUUGGUGGUCCCCCAAUCUGUGAGCCAAGUGCACAAUCGCUUCCAUAGAUCAACUGACACCAUUCACAGGAAAUUCAACCAUGUGUUGGCAUGCUUGAAUAGAAUGGCAGGAGACAUCAUAAGGCCCUUCGAUCGCAAAUUCAGAACCAUGCAUGACAGGAUUCGUGACUCUAGGUUUUAUCCACACUUCAAUAAUUGCAUUGGUGCAAUCGAUGGUAUGCAUAUACCAGUUGUUGUGCCGGCUGAUGAGAUGAUUAACCAUGUUGGUCGCCAUGGUUAUGCCACUCAGAAUGUCAUGGCAGUAUGUGACUUCGACAUGCGAUUCACCUCUAUAGUAGCUGGGUGGCUAGGUUCUGCACAUGACACAAGGAUAUUCAGAGACACACUUGACAAGUACAAGAAGAGAUUUCCACACCCUCCAGCAGGCAAAUAUUAUCUUG
Brachypodium distachyon (stiff brome) is the source of this 2363-nucleotide RNA transcript. It is a transcript of the gene named protein ALP1-like, with no coding region annotated. NCBI's taxonomy places the organism in Eukaryota, Viridiplantae, Streptophyta, Magnoliopsida, Poales, Poaceae. The record is from RefSeq and is a predicted model, not a curated record. The transcript is spliced from 4 exons.